CCCUGUUAGGUUCAAACACCGGUUCUUGUCCGAUCACCGAACUUAAGCAACGUAGUGCCUGGUCUCUACCUAGAUAGGUGACCGCUUGGAUAUAGUAGGUGUUGUAAG
This is a non-coding RNA of Acanthosepion pharaonis, 108 nucleotides long. The record is from the annotation of a GenBank genome assembly. Lineage: Eukaryota; Metazoa; Mollusca; Cephalopoda; Sepiida; Sepiidae.